UGAGGAAUAUUGGUCAAUGGGCGAGAGCCUGAACCAGCCAAGUAGCGUGCAGGAUGACGGCCCUCCGGGUUGUAAACUGCUUUUAGUUGGGAAUAAAAAAAGGGACUUGUCCCUUCUUGUAUGUACCUUCAGAAAAAGGACCGGCUAAUUCCGUGCCAGCAGCCGCGGUAAUACGGAAGGUCCAGGCGUUAUCCGGAUUUAUUGGGUUUAAAGGGAGCGUAGGCGGAUUGUUAAGUCAGCGGUUAAAGGGUGUGGCUCAACCAUGCAUUGCCGUUGAAACUGGCGAUCUUGAGUGCAGACAGGGAUGCCGGAAUUCGUGGUGUAGCGGUGAAAUGCUUAGAUAUCACGAAGAACUCCGAUCGCGAAGGCAGGUGUCCGGGCUGCAACUGACGCUGAGGCUCGAAAGUGUGGGUAUCAAACA
RNAcentral lists this ribosomal RNA (421 nucleotides) under uncultured Prevotella sp. RNAcentral's name for it is "bacterial SSU rRNA". It matches the Rfam family "Bacterial small subunit ribosomal RNA", at positions 355 to 774 of the family's 1533-position model. The record is from RNAcentral. Lineage: Bacteria; Pseudomonadati; Bacteroidota; Bacteroidia; Bacteroidales; Prevotellaceae.